UAUUUACCAUUUAAUAUUUAAGCACAAUGCAUUGCAAGUUAGAUUUUCUAUCUCAGGUUUGUAUAAAAAGAAAUAAAACUCCAGAGAUGGUAAAUGACCUUGCUCAAGGUCACAGUGAUUGGAGACAGAACUGAAGUAUUUUGACGUCCACUUUCAGCUCUGCUGGUAACUUUCUAAGAAAAACGGUGUCAACUAUAGCAGGCAUUUUCAAUGUAUCAAGUGACUACUUACAUGGGUAGUUCUUUUUCUUGUGGUUGUUUUGCAGGCAAUCUUAGCAGUUUAGUUGUACUUUGUUCUUUAUUGACGGCUAGCAAGUUCAUUAAUUAUGGAAGGAGUGAUGUCCAUUUGAUUGUAAAAGUAUGAAUAAUGUCUCAAAUGUAUAGGCGGCAGAAAUCUGAAGGUAAAUUGUACCUGUUCCUGAGAAGGGAGGUUCUCUUUACAGCCACUGUGUGCUGGUAACAGGGCAAUUUUCUUGUAAUCUCAGGUCUCUCAUUUACCAUAAGCAAGAUGCCUAAUUGUUUUAUGAAUAAUUGCGGUGUCUACAUAAUUUGCAUAGAUUGUCCACUUUUAACCUUUUGGCUAUAGAAAGUGGCUUUUAAAUUAAAUUUAAAAUUUGUUUUUCUAAUUAUAAAAGAAAUACAUGUGUAGAGCAAAAACUUUACCUAGAAAAGUGUCUAGGGCUGAAUUUCACCACUUUGAAUACUUUGGUGUACUCACAAACAUACACACAAUCACACACAUCCUUACACACAUGCAUGCACACACAAAGCAUAAUAUGCAUAUUCUAUCACAGACUCCUUUUUUCAGUUAGCAGAAUAUCAUGCACAUGUCCUAGUCAACAAGUAAUGUAUAAUAUCAUGUUUAAUAGCUGCAUAAUAUUACAUUGCAUGGAUUUAUAUUCUUUACAUUACUAGUCUGUUAUCAAACAUGUAGGGUAUUUCCAUUUUGAAUCUCUCUGAAAUACUUUGAUGAACACCUAGUAUAUAUAUGAUAGAGAUGGUCAUGAUUUGUUAUUUUUUUAAGUUUAUUUCUAUAGAUUUUUUUGAAAAUAAAAGACUAUUUCUGAUAAAGUAGGGGUCCCUUUUGUUCUUCUUAUUUCCCUCUUUCAAAAUUUUUCCAGAGUUAAUCCAUAAAUAAUAAAUGAUAUCAUUUUACACAUUUAGAAAAGUCGACAUAGGUGCUAUUGUCCCAGGGAUGCUGGAGAUGGUUAUGCCGAGUGCAACCAAGUAUGGUGAUUCUCUGUUAGUCUCUGUGAGUUAUUGGUCAGUCUCUUGUUAUUUAGCAACUUUCUUUUUUUUUUAAAAGAAAAGUUUUAUGUAAUUAAUUUUUUAUUGUGGUAUAAUUGACAUACAACAUUAUAUUACUUUCA
RNAcentral lists this long non-coding RNA (1369 nucleotides) under Equus asinus (donkey). RNAcentral describes it as "lncRNA (ENSEASG00005036233.1)". Lineage: Eukaryota; Metazoa; Chordata; Mammalia; Perissodactyla; Equidae. The record is from RNAcentral.